Molecule: ribosomal RNA, 497 nt
Filed under: uncultured bacterium
Lineage: Bacteria
Description: partial 16S ribosomal RNA
Rfam family: Bacterial small subunit ribosomal RNA
Source: RNAcentral
GAUGAACGCUGGCGGCGUGCCUAAUACAUGCAAGUCGAGCGAACGGACGAGAAGCUUGCUUCUCUGAUGUUAGCGGCGGACGGGUGAGUAACACGUGGAUAACCUACCUAUAAGACUGGGAUAACUUCGGAAAACCGGAGCUAAUACCGGAUAAUAUUUUGAACCGCAUGGUUCAAAAGUGAAACACGGUUUUGCCGUCACUUAUAGAUGGAUCCGCGCUGCAUUAGCUAGUUGGUAAGGUAACGGCUUACCAAGGCAACGAUGCAUAGCUGACCUGAGAGGGUGAUCGGCCACACUGGAACUGAGACACGGUCCAGACUCCUACGGGAGGCAGCAGUGGGGAAUCUUCCGCAAUGGGCGAAAGCCUGACGGAGCAACGCCGCGUGAGUGAUGAAGGUCUUCGGAUCGUAAAACUCUUUUAUUAGGGAAGAACAUCUGUGUAAGUAACUGUGCAUAUCUUGACGGUACCUAAUCAGAAAGCCACGGCUAACUACGUG